CAGUAGCGUAUACUAAUGUUGUUGCAGUUAAAAAGCUCGUAGUUGAACUUCUGGUAGGAGUGUCCCGGCCUUUUUGUUUUUACAAAUUGUAUGCUGUGUGACAUCUCUGGCCAUCCUUCUUCUUUGUUUAAAGAAGAUCUUUCACUGUAAAAAAAUUAGGGUGUUCAAAGCAAAAGUUUCUUUGGAAUAUAUUAGUAUGGGAUGAUAAGAUAGGCUCUAGAUGCUAUUUUGUUGGUUUGCACAUUUAGAGAAUGAUUAACAGGGACAGUUGGGGGUAUUCGUAUUUACAUGUCAGAGGUGAAAUUCUUGGAUUUUGGAAAGACGAACUACUGCGAAAGCAUUUACCAAGGAUGUUUUCAUUAA
Molecule: ribosomal RNA, 363 nt
Filed under: uncultured eukaryote
Lineage: Eukaryota
Description: partial 18S ribosomal RNA
Rfam family: Eukaryotic small subunit ribosomal RNA
Source: RNAcentral